AUUGAACGCUGGCGGCAUGCCUUACACAUGCAAGUCGAACGGUAACAGGUCUUCGGAUGCUGACGAGUGGCGAACGGGUGAGUAAUACAUCGGAACGUGCCCGAUCGUGGGGGAUAACGAAGCGAAAGCUUUGCUAAUACCGCAUACGAUCUACGGAUGAAAGCAGGGGACCGCAAGGCCUUGCGCGAACGGAGCGGCCGAUGGCAGAUUAGGUAGUUGGUGGGAUAAAAGCUUACCAAGCCGACGAUCUGUAGCUGGUCUGAGAGGACGACUAGCCACACUGGGACUGAGACACGGCCCAGACUCCUACGGGAGGCAGCAGUGGGGAAUUUUGGACAAUGGGCGAAAGCCUGAUCCAGCCAUGCCGCGUGCAGGAUGAAGGCCUUCGGGUUGUAAACUGCUUUUGUACGGAACGAAAAGACUCUGGUUAAUACCUGGGGUCCAUGACGGUACCGUAAGAAUAAGCACCGGCUAACUACGUG
Molecule: ribosomal RNA, 482 nt
Filed under: uncultured bacterium
Lineage: Bacteria
Description: partial 16S ribosomal RNA
Rfam family: Bacterial small subunit ribosomal RNA
Source: RNAcentral